Molecule: long non-coding RNA, 919 nt
Organism: Canis lupus familiaris (dog)
Lineage: Eukaryota; Metazoa; Chordata; Mammalia; Carnivora; Canidae
Exons: 3
Source: RefSeq, a predicted model, not a curated record
GACAGAUGGGAAACAAGUGACCCGUCAGGCUGGCAUGACUUCAGCUUGCCAAGCUCCUAGAAACCGACCAGGCGAGGUCUGGGAACCUCUUAUGGACUCUUCUUUUACACACCCGAGGAGGGGACCUCUCCUGGAACAAAUGCUACUUUCAGUUAUGUGCUGAGCAUGACAGUGAUUUCUUCAAGGUGAAAGAAAAAAAAAUCAUGCACCUCUGACAGAUUUUGACAGAUUUUGAAUAUUCUUACUGACAGAUUUUGAAUAAUCUUACUUUAUUUCCUGGCCAUGAACUGCUAUCAGUGGUUUACGAUUUUUCCGAUCUCUUAGACCGCUGAUUCUCAACUGGGAGUGAUUUUUGCUCCCGAGGGACACUUGGCAGCAUCUAGACAUAUCUUUGAUUGUCCCAGCUCGAGGGGGAAGGCAUUGCUGGCGUCUGGUACAUAGGUACCAGGAAUGCGCAGGAUGGCCCCUCCGCAAAGAAAGUUCCAUUCCAAAAUAUCAGUAGUGCUGAGACUGAGAAACACUCUCUUAGCCUAUGUAAACGAACAGUGCAUCACCUUAAAGAGGAUGAAGAAAUCUUACCGUUUUAGAACAGGAGGUGAGCUGGGACAUGACCUCAGUCAAGCUUCCGGCUUCACAAAUGAGGAAACAGAUCCAAGAACCGAAAAAGACUGUCAAAGCAAGGCUUCUUCACCUCACCUGAGAUGAAGGACUCCCUGUGUUAGGGGUGGAAUGAUGGGUCUGAUCAUUCAGUGCCCAAGAUGACUAUGGUUCCAUGUGAUGUGCAUAACAGAAGAUAUAACUCGAUUUUAUCUGAAAGCAAUUUUUUCUUGAAUGUUCUAGAUUUUUUAAAGAUUUUUUUAAAUUGAGAGAAGCCUGGGUGGCUCAGCAGUUGAGUGUCUGCCUUUGGCUCAGGACGUGA